GAUGAACGCUGGCGGCGUGCCUAAUACAUGCAAGUCGAGCGAACAGACGAGGAGCUUGCUCCUCUGACGUUAGCGGCGGACGGGUGAGUAACACGUGGAUAACCUACCUAUAAGACUGGGAUAACUUCGGGAAACCGGAGCUAAUACCGGAUAAUAUAUUGAACCGCAUGGUUCAAUAGUGAAAGACGGUUUUGCUGUCACUUAUAGCUGGAUCCGCGCCGCAUUAGCUAGUUGGUAAGGUAACGGCUUACCAAGGCAACGAUGCGUAGCCGACCUGAGAGGAUGAUCGGCCACACUGGAACUGAGACACGGUCCAGACUCCUACGGGAGGCAGCAGUAGGGAAUCUUCCGCAAUGGGCGAAAGCCUGACGGAGCAACGCCGCGUGAGUGAUGAAGGUCUUCGGGUCGUAAAGCUCUGUUAUUGGGGAAGAACAAAUGUGUAAGUAACUAUGCACGUCUUGACGGUACCUAAUCAGAAAGCCACGGCUAACUACGUG
Molecule: ribosomal RNA, 497 nt
Filed under: uncultured bacterium
Lineage: Bacteria
Description: partial 16S ribosomal RNA
Rfam family: Bacterial small subunit ribosomal RNA
Source: RNAcentral